GACGAACGCUGGCGGCGUGCUUAACACAUGCAAGUCGAACGGAAGGGCCCUGCUUUUGUGGGGUGCUCGUGUGGCGAACGGGUGAGUAAAACGUGAGUAACCUGCCCUUGACUUUGGGAUAACUUCAGGAAACUGGGGCUAAUACCGGAUAGGAGUUUCUGCUGCAUGGUGGGGGUUGGAAAGUUUCGGCGGUUGGGGAUGUACUCGCGGCUAAUCAGCUUGUUGGUGGGGUAGUGGCUUACCAAGGCUUUGACGGGUAGCCGACCUGGGAGGGUGACCGGCGACAAUAGUACUAAGAGACGGCGCAGAAGCGAACGGGCGGCAACAGGGGGAAGCCUUACAGAGUGGGGCGACGCCAGAUACGAAAACGCCGCGAUCGGAAUAACGUCCUUCGGGUGAAAAACCGCUGUCGCAGUUGACGUAGCGUUAGUGACGGUAAUGGGUAAAAAAGCCCCGGCUAACUACGUG
This 468-nucleotide ribosomal RNA is filed under the name uncultured bacterium. RNAcentral's name for it is "partial 16S ribosomal RNA". It matches the Rfam family "Bacterial small subunit ribosomal RNA", at positions 28 to 507 of the family's 1533-position model. The record is from RNAcentral.